CGCCAUUUUUAAUUCGAGGAGCUGAUUACGCCGAUGCCGUGCCGUGUGUCCCAUUGUAAGAGACGAUAGUGUUGAAUUGGGUAUGUUGGUCUGAAUCAGACCCCAUGGUGACAAUUUUAAACAACGCACAUAUUUGUCAAUUACUAAGUUUUUUUUUAUAAAUAAAUUGUGGCCAAAGUCAAUUACGAAGUUACUGGGGCUGGCAAUGCACGCAAAACAAGGCGGCUACACAUUCCAAUUGACAUGGAGGAUAUAUUCAAAUAAAUAUUCAAUGUAGUCGGCCAGACGAAAGUAUCGCCCCACGUCAUAAUCUCAUCGCCAAGCACCAUGUUGUUUGUUUUGGGCAGAGCCCGUUCAGUUUGGGAGGUAGAUUUGAUGGGCUAAUUUUGUUGACCCACUUCUUUUUGGGCUGUUUUACAUAACAAAGCCCGCCCUUUUCAUUGAACUGAACAGACUAGCCAUUUUUUUCAAAAAAGGAGAUUUGGCCCAAUUGAUGGCUCUAA
Neltuma alba is the source of this 503-nucleotide long non-coding RNA. RefSeq lists it as uncharacterized. NCBI's taxonomy places the organism in Eukaryota, Viridiplantae, Streptophyta, Magnoliopsida, Fabales, Fabaceae. The record is from RefSeq and is a predicted model, not a curated record. The transcript has 2 exons.